GGUUGAUUAGUUUAAGUAAAACAGAAGCUUUGUAAGUUUAUAAUCUAUAGAUUA
This 54-nucleotide transfer RNA is filed under the name Phanuelus gladstone. RNAcentral describes it as "tRNA-Thr". The record is from RNAcentral. Lineage: Eukaryota; Metazoa; Arthropoda; Arachnida; Araneae; Salticidae.